GCGAGGCGAACGGGUCGUAGCUCCGCUGGCCCAACUUCACGUCCAUGAUGCACGGUUUGACGAAGCGCCGCGUCACAUCCUCCAGUUUCAGGGACGUAAAGAUUCAUCGUAAAAAUCGGGAUAAAUCGGAGGUGUGGAAGCAUUUUGGCUUCCCCAAGACAGAAAAUGAAAGAGUGCUACAUCUCCUUAAAGAACACAAGUGGUAAGCGCUGUUACCUCACAGCGGGGAGGUUCCUGGUUGGAAUCCCUGUCGGACAGGGACGGGCGGACCUGUCUGUGUGCAGUUUGCAUGUUCUGCCUCUGCAUGUGUGGGUCCUUUUCUGGUACUCCAACUUCCUCCCACAGUCCACUCUAAAAUAUGAGUGAGGCUGGUUGUCUGUCUCUACAUGUCAGCCAUGUGAUUGACU
This is a long non-coding RNA of Labrus bergylta (ballan wrasse), 407 nucleotides long. RefSeq lists it as uncharacterized. NCBI's taxonomy places the organism in Eukaryota, Metazoa, Chordata, Actinopteri, Labriformes, Labridae. The record is from RefSeq and is a predicted model, not a curated record.